GAAUUUUCUUUGUGCUGCCGAUAAAAUUCAGUGAAAUUUUCAAACAGAUUCAACCAACAAUUUCUAUGUGAAACAAAUUGAAUGGUGGCGGAAAUUUUAAAAGUCGCAUUGCGCUCGCCCGUUUAGGCCGGAAGGUGACGAUAUAUUGUCUCCGGUUAUAAUUGUAUGUAUCUUAUGUCGAUGGAUACUAACCUUGUUAUUUCUCAUGUUGAGACCAUGGUUUCCAGAAUCGAUGACGUGGACGAUGACACCAUUCGAGUCGCUCUGAAUGUAGUUGUUCCCGAUAACUACAUUGCUGAUCCUGCCAUCGAUGACGUGGACGAUGACACCAUUCGAGUCGAUCUGAAUGUAGUUGUUCCCGAUAACUACAUUGCUGAUCCUGCCAUUGAUGACGUUGCCGCUCAUGACGAUAUGACCAUUAUUGAUGCUGAUACCAUCCGAGCCGAUGCUGAUACCACCCGAGCCGAUGCUACCAAUCCUGAUGCCGCCGUGUCUCUGGAUUCCGCCGUUGUUGUGGUUGUUGCCGACGUUGACGAGACCAACCGAGUCGAUGGCGGCUCCGCUGAAGUCCUGUUCACCAUCGCCGUCGUGGUUGAAGCUGCCUGUGUGGCCGCCAGUGUUGAUCGUGGCGCCGCGGAAGUUCUGCUUCCCGGUGCCGAAGUUGUUGAAGCUGUUACUUGUGCCUUUUCCUGUCAUUCAACACCAGCAAUGAAUCAGUCAGUUGAAAACCCUGCGUGCCGCGCAAAUUGGUCGCGCACAGUUGGUCGCGGCGAUAUAUGAUCGCAGCACAAUACAGGGCCGGAAACAGGCGAUUUUUUUUUUUUUUUUACAAUUACUAUUUUCAAUUUUUCAUCUUAGCUAUCUAUCCAACCACGUCCUCUAGGGGCCCAUGAAGUUUAAAAGACAGAUUCAGAAAGGCCCUAAGACUGGAAUUUAGGGUGUAAUGGGGCCCCCCUUAAAUGUUCGGACAUUAUGGGCCCUCAAUGAAUGUUGGAAUCUGAGAACCUCAAACUGAAAUAUCGGUAAAAUGGAAUCUUCGUUUUGCUGGCCCUAAAUAAGACAAUUCCCAUGGACCCUUUGGAUAUACUACUAGUAUAGUGAAUCCCUGAAUACCAAUGUUUCGGUGGGAUCCCGAGAGAAUGUUUCUUUAGGUGUCUCCGUAUAAAUAUAAUGUCCUGUGAAAGGUUGGCGACAAGGGGUGGAGGAGGAGAUCAGAAGGUGCCAAUUUCCUGAUGAUCUCUGGGAGGAUAGGGGGCAAUGGCGAUUGGGCGUCGCAGAGCGCGAGGCGGCGCUAUAAAAGCGGCUUUAUGUAUGUAUAAAUAUAAUGUAUGUACCUUUGGUCACUUCCGCGACGUGUUCAUCAUAGUCGUGAUCAUCGUCGUGAUCGUCGUGUUCAUGUUCCUCUUCCCAUCUAUCUUCUUCCUCGGCUACCUCGCGUUUGGCGUUGCUGAGGCCGGGCGGGGUUAUCCACGCGGCCGUAUUGAAAAGACUCCCGAAACUAUCGAAAAGGCCUCUGGCUUGAAGAUAUUGUUCGCCAUUGGUUCCAGUCUUUUCGGGAUUCAGAUGGAGCAGUCCGAUCUUUAUUUUCUCCCUGGAGGACUCGGCGCUUACGAGCGCGGGAAACGGCGCCUAUAACACGAACCAUCGAAUAAUGGGUCAAUAACUGCUGAUACAGACUGCGCAACUUCUUUAGUCUUGGAGAAAAGACGUGAUUAUACAUUAAUAGUUUCGAUUUUACUCGCUAAAAACUGUAAAUUUAAGACAAAAAUUACCAUCUAAAUUUCAUAAUUUUCACGAUUUUCGCAAUUUAUUGCAAAGGAUGAAGUUGCACAAUCUUAGCAUCAUUGCAAUGCUAGUAAUUCCUCUUUGCAAAAUGCGAUUCAUAUGAUCUAGGGACGAGAUCCACCACUACGGUGCGCUGCCUCGCGAAUUACGCCUUUAAGAAGCAAAAAUUAUCGUAAUGUACGAGUUAGUGCAGAAACUGAUCCAUGAUGCGUAGCAGCAUUAAUACUGAGUAGAAUAACAUCAAAUUUGGGUAGCUUCCGUGUAAAUUUAUACCUGAAACUAUCAAACUACGAUAAAGGACGUCGCCUACGGACUCAAUGUGUAAGAGAGAGUCAUUACAGCGCUAUCUCUCUCACAUGCACACAUCAUUGAGUCAAUGGGCGACGUCCGUUAUUGUAGUUUCAGGUAUUUUACAAUAAAUCUUCAUUGAAGUUGGUUGCCUGAACCAAGAACUUUGAGGUUCCGUAUAAACUGAGGUUCAUCAGUCUACGUAGAAGAAAUUUUUUCUUUGUGUUGAAAUACGAAAAACUCAACAUCUGUAGAUUAUACAAGAAUACCCUUGAUUAAUCCUAUAAAUCAAGACCUAGGUACGCAACCACAAUCCCUUGUCCACCUAUCAAAAAUUGGAAAGCCAAUCAUAGAAGUUAUUUAAAACGGAGGUAUUGAACUACUCCAGACAUACAGUACCAUUCCAAGAGAGUAUUUCUCAUUAUAUGUUCAUAAAAAAAACAUUUGAUCAAAUUGGUAGUGAUCAAAGUGCUUAAGUCAUAAACCAGAGGUAUUGAAUGCGUCUAAAAUCAGUUAAUUUGAACAUCCCCUUCCCAAAUAUACCAACAUCUAAGUAAUUGUAGGUCGGUUAAUGAAGAAAAAUAAUCUGUUCUAUAACGACAAAUACAUUUGAAGCACAGUACUGUAACCCUCUCGGGAAGGCUUCAAAACACUCAGAAAAUUGUUUAAUCCAUGGAACACUUUGAAAUUAGUCUAUGUAGUUGCCAAUUUUUCAACGUGCAGCAUGUGUAUGCGUGUAUGGACGCAUAAUGAUAAUUAUCUCCCUUAAAAGUUGAAUUGGACAUUCUUGAAAUAUUCAUGAGGUUCAACGUGAAACUUUCAGGAGAAAAUAUGAUUCAUUAUGCGUGAUUUUUACUCCGUCAGAUAUUCCAAUUCGGCUCUUAGGUUCCAGGAAUUUAGAAUUAUUUUACAACACACGUAAGAGGCGUGCCAAGUAGAAAAAUGAUAAUGCAUGAAAGAAAAAGCAACGUAAAACAUCUUGAUUUUUCAGGAACCGGAAGCACAUCUCACAGAACAGUAUCAACAACAAAUACAAAAAAGUGAGUCAGUAGUAAAAAUGCUCAUGCACUUGAAUCAGGAGAAACCCACAAGUAAGACAAUUCCAAUCAGCAAGACGGGAACAUGCGUCUCGAGAGCCACCAUAUUUCAGGCUCAGUGAAAGACUAAAAAUCGCACGAACAACAUCCGCUUAUUUGUAGACCAAAGCUCGAAUUGGCUGAUAGAUCAAGCUCCGCUAAAUCAUACUUUCCAGCAGGAGAGGUGCUUUAAUGUCAUCCGAUCGACCGUUAAUUUACUAAAAGAUCCCAACUCCAGAUAAUCGCGGUUCACGGUUUCACCCAGCCGACACGGCUUCUUGAGCUCACGAGAUAAUGGUGCUUGGGUUCUUUUUUCAAAUAAACUGUUCGAUUGCGUGUGUACCUCAUACCUCGUGACCGUUUUUGCAGCACGAGCGCAAUAUCUAACCCUGACCGAUCUUGGUGACACAUCCAG
RNAcentral lists this long non-coding RNA (3564 nucleotides) under Bemisia tabaci. RNAcentral describes it as "lncRNA ENSSSA3NGG009104". The record is from RNAcentral. Lineage: Eukaryota; Metazoa; Arthropoda; Insecta; Hemiptera; Aleyrodidae.